Molecule: non-coding RNA, 69 nt
Organism: Podarcis lilfordi (Lilford's wall lizard)
Lineage: Eukaryota; Metazoa; Chordata; Lepidosauria; Squamata; Lacertidae
Source: the annotation of a GenBank genome assembly
GGAUAGCUCAGUCAGUAGAGCAUGAGACUCUUAAUCUCAGAGUUGUGUGUUUGAACCCCAUGUUGGACA